Tupaia belangeri chinensis (Chinese tree shrew) is the source of this 262-nucleotide long non-coding RNA. RefSeq lists it as uncharacterized. NCBI's taxonomy places the organism in Eukaryota, Metazoa, Chordata, Mammalia, Scandentia, Tupaiidae. The record is from RefSeq and is a predicted model, not a curated record. The transcript has 3 exons.
AGAAGUUUAUUCAGUUCACAGUUCUGGAGGCUGGUCAGUCCAAGGUCUACAAACUGGCAUCUGACAAGAGUCUUCACGGUGUGGCAUAACAUUUGAAUACUCUGAAGUGCCAACAUGCUAAUUUUCUUCACAGAGAGAUCCAAUUUACUGACAUCACUUCCAGGUUAGCAGGAGCAGACUGACACAGUAUUGCCUAUUUAAAUGGCUAGAGAACCACUGCAAACAGAACAGGAUCUUACAAACAGAUCAUUAGAUCAUUAGC